This 388-nucleotide unclassified non-coding RNA is filed under the name uncultured bacterium. Its description in RNAcentral is "contains 16S-23S intergenic spacer region". The record is from RNAcentral.
UCCUGGUUUCCCAGGCAGUCCCGCCAGAGUGCGCUGUCCGAAGACAACUAGCAACUGGCAGUAAGGGUUGCGCUCGUUAGAGGACUUAACCUAACAUCUCACGACACGAGCUGACGACAGCCAUGCAGCACCUGUGCAUCUGUCUAGACCGAAGCCUAAAAGAUCAUAUCUCUAUGACUGUCAAAUGCAUGUCAAACCCAGGUAAGGUUCCUCGCGUAGUGUCGAAUUAAACCACAUGUUCCACCGCUUGUGCGGACCCCCGUCAAUUCCUUUGAGUUUUAAUCUUGCGACCGUACUCCCCAGGCGAACCACUUAACGCGUUAGCUACGACACCAAUCCAGAUAAACUGAACUGACGCCUAGUGGUUAUCGUUUACAGCGUGGACUAC